Molecule: ribosomal RNA, 250 nt
Filed under: uncultured bacterium
Lineage: Bacteria
Description: partial 16S ribosomal RNA
Rfam family: Bacterial small subunit ribosomal RNA
Source: RNAcentral
UACGUAGGGGUCCAGCGUUGUCCGGAUUUAUUGGGCGUAAAGCGCGCGCAGGCGGCGUGGUGUGCCGCCCGUGAAAUCCCUCGGCUCAACCGGGGGGGGUCGGGCGGAACUGCCAGGCUGGAGGCGGGUAGGGGACAGCGGAAUUCCCGGUGUAGUGGUGGAAUGCGUAGAGAUCGGGAGGAACACCAGUGGCGAAGGCGGCUGUCUGGACCUGGCCUGACGCUGAGGCGCGAAAGCGUGGGGAGCGAUC